Molecule: ribosomal RNA, 167 nt
Filed under: Peniophora sp.
Lineage: Eukaryota; Fungi; Basidiomycota; Agaricomycetes; Russulales; Peniophoraceae
Description: partial large subunit ribosomal RNA
Rfam family: Eukaryotic large subunit ribosomal RNA
Source: RNAcentral
CGGGAAGAGCUCAAAUUUAAAAUCUGGCGUCUUCGGCGUCCGAGUUGUAAUUUAGAGAAGCGUUUUCCGCGCCGGACCGUGUACAAGUCUCCUGGAACGGAGCGUCAUAGAGGGUGAGAAUCCCGUCUUUGACACGGACCCCCGGUGCUCUGUGAUACGCUCUCGAA